UUUCAAUAUUUUUUGGUUGUUAAAAGGCAUGACAUAGUGAUGAUAAUUUGUGAACCUUUCCAUAUGAUUCUUUACAGGAUUAAAAUAUCCUCCUACUCAUUCUGAAUGUCAUUGCCUAAAUAUUUAUUGUUCUAUAUAAGUUUUGAUUUUAUAUUUUUCCUAUAUUUAUGUGUUGGUGGCUAUGAUGAUAAUGAUAUUAUCAUUUUAUUGAGUUUUCAAUGAUUGUCUUUCAAGCACUUUUGAGCCACCGUCUUUCUUUCUUCAAGGUCUAGUUAAUUUUAUUUCAUUCAUUUCAAGCACUUUUUUUUCUUCUUCUUUUCACUCUCUCUCAAAAAAAAAAGUUUCGUAUUAUAAUUUUUUUUCUUCAUAAUUAUAGUUUAUUGAAUAGCCGAUGUAUUUUAUUAGGGGACAUUAUUAUUUGAAUACCAAAUAUUCGUAAUUAAAAAAAAAUUAUCUUGAUUUUUAUCUGUGAGUAAUUAUUUUUAUAUUAAGCUUAAGUGUAAGUGUUUAAUCUAGGUCAGUCGCUCCCUUUUCUGUUUUAAAGUUAAAUGAAGUACCAAUUUCUUUCUCGCAAUGGAUUCUUACCAUUACGAGUCAUAUAAGGAUCACAUCAUUUGGUUUUAAAACAAGAAAUGGCGCCGCUCUUGUGAGUUGUGAGGGGAUGACGGGAAUUUUAAGCAUUACCACAUAAAUAUUGUGGAAAUAAAGAACAAAAUGCAUUUGAUCAUGGACAAUGUGAUAUAAGCAGUGGAGUAAAGAGUUAGUAUUAUAUGCUUGAUAUUCAAAAUUCACAUGCACUUUUUUAUUUUUUGUAUUAUUGUCCAACUUUUGUUAAACCACUUUUUUUUUUUCUUUUCUUAUUUGAUGAAAACUAUAGAGAGGGAAAAACGAAGAGAGAGAAUAAAAACACAAUAUGUGAGUAUGAGAGAAUUUUUUUUUUUUUUUAAUUCAAUUGUAUUUACUAUGUAGUGUGCUUUUUUCUAACAAUCACGUGCUGCAAACCCAAACCCAUCUCCAAUGGGCUUUUCGUGUACAUUAAUAUUUGGGAAAUGGCAAUAAAGCUCGUGGUUGAUUCAAAAUGACAAAACUUGUGUUUGACUCCGGUCAUGUCAUGUUGAUAAUUAAUCAUGUGUAAAAGUUAAAAUCAAAUUCGGAUAGGAGGCAAGAGCUAAACAAAUGGAUACAAUUGAAAAAUAAAGGUUUUCAUUCAUCCAUGGAUAAGUUGCUAAUUAAGCUUGACAAAUAUUACCCUUUCCCUUUUCAUUUUUAUAUUUUUUAUCGGUGGAAGUGUAAUUCCUUUUUCCUGUAGCAACCAUCCAUCCACUCAAGUCCUGUUUCCAUACGUCCAAGAGAUGAAUAUAAAUAAUGUUGGUUUUAAUCAUCUAGGUAAUCAAGUGAGAAAGUGGGAUCACUUUUUCCUGAUGUCUACAACUCUUCAAACACAAUGUGGUCAUUUGUAUUCAUUUGAUUAAGAUUGGAUGGUCUAUUUCUAAGCGCAAUACAAGAUUAUUAAUAACCUGAGCGAAUUCAAUUUCAAUUAACAGUUGCAUGAGAAUUUUUCAUCCUUAAUUUGAUUGCAAAUGACAAUCGUGAGGCUCAUACAAGAUUCAAAAUUCACAAACAAUAUAUUGUUCCAAAAAAAAAAACAUCGUUAAUAUGGAUUAGUGUUUUCUAUUUCGUCUAUUUCUGAAUACUUGUCGUUUUUGAAAAAUAAUUUUUGUUUCAAAUUAUUUAAUGCUUUCAAGUUUCAGUGCAAUAUUGAUUAUUG
This 1768-nucleotide long non-coding RNA is filed under the name Medicago truncatula (barrel medic). RNAcentral describes it as "long non-coding RNA (MTRU_LNC002842)". The record is from RNAcentral. Lineage: Eukaryota; Viridiplantae; Streptophyta; Magnoliopsida; Fabales; Fabaceae.